RNAcentral lists this ribosomal RNA (388 nucleotides) under uncultured bacterium. RNAcentral's name for it is "bacterial SSU rRNA". It matches the Rfam family "Bacterial small subunit ribosomal RNA", at positions 30 to 420 of the family's 1533-position model. The record is from RNAcentral.
AUUGGACGCUGGCGGAAUGCUUUACACAUGCAAGUCGAACGGCAGCACGGGGCAACCUGGUGGCGAGUGGCGAACGGGUGAGUAAUAUAUCGGAACGUGCCCAAUCGUGGGGGAUAACGUAGCGAAAGUUACGCUAAUACCGCAUACGAUCUACGGAUGAAAGCGGGGGAUCGCAAGACCUCGCGCGAAUGGAGCGGCCGAUAUCAGAUUAGGUAGUUGGUGGGGUAAAGGCUCACCAAGCCAACGAUCUGUAGCUGGUCUGAGAGGACGACCAGCCACACUGGAACUGAGACACGGUCCAGACUCCUACGGGAGGCAGCAGUGGGGAAUUUUGGACAAUGGGCGCAAGCCUGAUCCAGCCAUUCCGCGUGCAGGAUGAAGGCCUCGG